UGGGGAAUUUUGGACAAUGGGGGCAACCCUGAUCCAGCCAUGCCGCGUGAGUGAAGAAGGCCUUCGGGUUGUAAAGCUCUUUCGGCCGGGAAGAAAUCGCCAUCUCUAAUAUAGGUGGUGGAUGACGGUACCGGAAUAAGAAGCACCGGCUAACUACGUGCCAGCAGCCGCGGUAAUACGUAGGGUGCGAGCGUUAAUCGGAAUUACUGGGCGUAAAGCGUGCGCAGGCGGUUUUUUAAGAUAGGCGUGAAAUCCCCGGGCUUAACCUGGGAACUGCGCUUAUGACUGGAAGACUAGAGUACGGCAGAGGGGGGUGGAAUUCCACGUGUAGCAGUGAAAUGCGUAGAGAUGUGGAGGAACACCGAUGGCGAAGGCAGCCCCCUGGGCCGAUACUGACGCUCAUGCACGAAAGCGUGGGGAGCAAACAGG
This 429-nucleotide ribosomal RNA is filed under the name uncultured prokaryote. Its description in RNAcentral is "bacterial SSU rRNA". It matches the Rfam family "Bacterial small subunit ribosomal RNA", at positions 355 to 776 of the family's 1533-position model. RNAcentral also lists the same sequence under 1 other name. The record is from RNAcentral.